Molecule: long non-coding RNA, 5092 nt
Organism: Cyprinus carpio carpio
Lineage: Eukaryota; Metazoa; Chordata; Actinopteri; Cypriniformes; Cyprinidae
Source: Ensembl
AAUCAGUCUUUGCAUAGCUAUAUAUUGUUGUCAUCCAGCCAGCUAUCUCUUGCUUUAUGGGGCGGAGCGCAUUUCUGUGUGUGUACAGCUGUGCAGCUUCUGUUUAGACUCCACUCCGGGGUCGUUGCUUGACAGUAAUCCUACUCCAACCCUGAUCGUUCAAACACACUUACAGCUACAGUGUACGAUACCAAAACAAAGAAAUGUCUCAAACUCAAAAUCGAUUGUGACUAUAAAUAACGCUAACUAGCCAUUUGUUACAGGGUCGCAUAAGUGAAAAAUAUCACUCACCUAGCCUGUUCAAUCAAUAGGUUCUCAUUAAUGUUAUCCAUCGUCAUUAUCAUUGUGGCGUUAAGUGCAAGGCUUAACCUAAUAGAAGCAUUAAGUUCCUGAUGCCCAGCUAAUAUGUUCUAAGAAUGUUUUGCUAAUUUUGCAAGUUAUGAAAAUGUCAUUUCUGAAUGUUCUCUAAACGUUCAAACGUCCAGUUUCUUUUUUUUUUUUCUUGAUUGUACAAACAUUAAGGGGACAUUGCAUUUUAUUAUUUUGCAAACAUUAUGGGAAUGUUAAGGUGAUGAUACAUGCGGCAACCUUUCGAGCAAUGUUGCUGGGCAACCAGGUGAGACACAGGGCCUAUGACCGAUCUAAAGUAUCCAGACAAGAAUUUGUUAAAUUAAAUUAAUUAAAACUAGAAUAAUACUAUUUCUCUGCAUUUUGCAUUGACACUGAUAUUCUGUGUCAAAGUAAUUAGGAUCACUGUAUUUAAAGCAUAAUCUUGGUAUCUCUUCCUCCAGGGAAUGAGAACAAACAGGAAACAUUUCUUGUGUUUAUGGCAAAAAUAGAGCAUUCCUCUCAUCACUGCACUCUUGCAGCUUCCAUAUUUGUCUCCUCACUGUAUGAGCUUUUGUGCAUUUAAAAUAAUUAAAAUACUUUAAUUAAGCUCAGCAUGCAGUAACAGUCUUGGAGUGUUUAAUUAGUUUAAUAGUUUUAAUUCAGCUGUAAUACUUCAAUGGUGAAUUAUAUGUCCCAUUUAUCGCAAGCUGUAAUAGCUCAUUUUGCAGAAUCAUAGCAUAACUAAUAAAUAAAGGUCUUCUUAUGUCGUUUUUGAGGAUUGUGGCAUGCUCUAAAUCCAUGCUCCAGACAUCUACUGAUGCCUAUGGGCUUUAAAAAGAAAAUUAAUUAGAUUUUCGCAAAUAAAGCAUCUGUAUGCAUCCCAUCGAAGAUGAAAGCACUUGAUUACCUUGGUUCUUUAAAAUGAGUUAAGCCAAAUCUAUUGUGAAUUAAUUUGCAGUUGUACAUAAUAUCUUACAGGUGGUAAAGUAAAAACCAGACAUAACCUGAAUUCAGUUACAUUUUUAAUUAUGUAUAAUGUAAAUUAAUAUCCCCAUGACUGUACUGGAAAUUUAUACUUAAAGCUGGCAGUUGCUUAUAGGAAGAGAUUUACACCAUGACUACAGCUUAGAGAAACGGGGGAUUAACUAUUUUAUGACACAGUUACUGUAUAUUGUAUUACUUUUUAACAUGAUAAUGUGUGCUAUGAGUCAUCACUGUUAAUUAAUGCUUGACAAUGGCUGAUGUUAUAUUGCACCGCGGGACGUCAGAGCAUUCAUGAGGUAUUAGACAAAGUGUUCUCCAAAAUACUACUUUUAAAUAAGUAUUCAUUUUAAACAGAUCAAACUGUGAGCUCAAAAUGAGGUUCUGAGAGAGGGUGAAAAGAGCGAGAGCCGCAGCUCCAGUAUUGAGCAAAAAGGCUGUUUUGUAUGUACAGACACAGAGCUCAUUACAGAAGAGGCAGAAGCCAAAUCCUUCAGUGCCCGUAGGCAGGGAUUUACAGAGGAGAUAAAAGCUGGUUCAUGAUCGCAAUAGAAGUACAUGCUUGGUCACUGCACUUAAACAUUUCAUUGUUUUGGCAUUCAGAUGAAAUAGUGCUUUGACGGAGCUGCGCGAAUACAAUGGUUUCUGUCAAAUUAAAUCUCUGUUCUCAUUAUAGACAGAGUUUUUUGCUGUUUCUGCAGAGAAAGUAAAACACAUUGGCUAAGUUGGGAAGCUAUAAGUGGGAAUUUUGCACGCUUCAAAAACCAUCAGUCAACACCUUAUGUGUGCUUUGCAAUUGCUUCUAAAAUGUGUGACUUCUAGUUGCAUGAACACAAUUCAUUAUCAUGAUGCAAGGGCAUCAGUGAAGGCUUUUGCUUAAAAUAGCAGCAAAAAUGCAUGCGUUUUUGUGAGUAUGGAGCUAUGCAUUCAUGUGGGCAAAGUUUUUGUAAUACCAAGAAAUUGAGUUUUCUUUUUCUACUGUAGGUAUUGACAUCGAUUCCUGGAUGUGUUUGAUUCGCUCCCCUUUGUUUUCUUUUAAUUGUGCAAGCUGUUUGACAUUCCCCGAAGAGUCAAUAAUUGUGAGGAAUAGCGGCGAGAAAAUAUAUCAAUGCUAGACUGCGUACAUGACAGAUAUUCUUGUUUGACUGUGCUGACUUUGUAAUCCCAUGAAAGUAUAAUUACCUGGAGGCUGUAUUUGUGAAGGCUGGUAUACAUUUUCUUGAUGUCUGAUUACAGAAUUAGCAAUAUGCUAAAAAUCAAACCUCAAGGGUGAGGAUGGGAGAUUAACAACAAAUAAGUACAUGCAUAUAUUCUCUUAAUAUCUUUCUGGGAUUCUGUUGUUUCCCUUAUUAUGUUUAAUAUCAAGAAGAUUAAACAUGCAGAUAGUACAUUGUACUGCAGAGGGCAAUCACGGAAUAUGGAGUAGACCUCAUUACGUAUCCCUCACCAGUCUAGUAUUUAAUAUUUGUAGAACAUUGUAAAAUGAUGAAAAUUAAACUGCUCGGAUUCAUUAGCUCUAUGUGUUGCAGCAAUAAGAAAGUAAUUAAACCACUGCAGGCAUUAUGCUGCUCAAGUUAAGAAAGAGGCCAAGUUCUUUGAAAUAGUUUGUGCUGUAAUGAAAAAUGAUGAUGUUGUUUUAGACUGGCAGAAGACAAGAGCCAUAAUGUUGCCUUUUUAACUUCUCACAGAUUUACAAUGGUCUCACUGUUUGUUAAAUUAGUUUAUUGUUCUUUGUAAUGCUGGCAGUUCUGAUCGGUCAUCGUGCCCUCCGAAGGUUGCCACAACAUUCGGGUUUUCUGAAGUAAAAACUUCUUUUGUUUUCUGCAUAGGGAUAAAAGUAUUUUAAGGAUAACAUUUACGUUUAAAGACAGACCUGUUGUGAGCUCAGAGGUUGUUAAUUGAUGGUAUAUUCUUUAGAUGAAGUCAUCUAUUUGCAUUAUUUCAACUUAAAAAAACAACUACGUUUAACAGCAGAAUUUAUGGUGGAGAACUACAUUACCCAUGAUGCCGCACAGAAAAUUCCACCAGUUUGCACGAGAAAAUCGUGGCAAAAGAGCCUUCUCCCAUGAAGCACCAUAAAUGAAAACUUGAGUUAUUUAACCUAUGCUCUCAAAACACAUUGUGCAAAAAAAUGUAAUAUAUUGUUUCUAUAGAUAUAAUGAACAAUUUUACAAAAUUUUUUUUUAAUUUGAUUGUCAUUUGCAGUGCUUUGUUGGACUGUAGUUAUUUCCCUCAAUAAAGCUGUUAUGUUCACAGUCUUGUACCUGUGUCUUUUCGUCGGAUCAAAUCAAAGUUUGUAAUGUUGUGAUUCACCUCGUAGCUGGUUGGCUUGGUUGAGGACUUUUUAAAAUCCCUAUGGCAAAUACAUAAAUUUUUUUAAUAAUUUCAGUGGAAAUCAGUAUUUUAUUUGGUAAGUAGUCAUAUUAUGUGAGAUAAUAUACAGUCAGAUCGGGAUAAAUGUAUUUGUGUUAAUAACAAGCUAACUCUACAUUUUUUCAUAUUUAUUCAAUUUGUAGGGAACUCACAAGAUUCUUCAUCAAAAAUUUACAAGGAAAUGAGAAGAGCAGCAGCUAGCAGCCACUCUAAGAGAACAGAAAGCCAAAGUACAGAAAGAAAGAAAAAGAAAAAGAAAAAGAAAAAGAAAAAGAAAUGAGGGCAUGAAUUUGUGCUGUACAAGAACAGUGUAUCAUAUUUCCAAGCAAAGUCUUAUUGGUUUGUUUAUUGAAGAUGGUGAAAAACUCAUUUUAUGGAUAGUAAUAAACCUCUCUGUUUAUUGAAUACACAGAUCAAUUAUAGACUGAGGAAUCAAAACUGUAAUCAUUUUUCCCUCCUAUGAGCACAGAACCACAAUUCUGCUUCAGCUUUUUGACAAACAAAUGAACCUCUGUGUAUGAUUUUUUUUCUUCACAGUCUAGAUAUAAAAGAACACUAUGAUAACAAAGGUUGAAUUGAAUUCUCUUUGUCUGUUUGUAAAGAAACACUUUUUUUUCAUUUUGUGUUAUGACUGUUUCAUGAUUUUCAUCCAUCUGUUGGCAAAGAGCUUCGUCAUGCAGCUUUCAUCUUUACUUUACUUCACUAUAGUACUUUUGUUCUGACCCCAGCGAGGACAAACGUGAUUGAACAUACCUUGUUCAGAGAAACAUAAACAUCCUGUUAAACAUCCUGACUUGGAGAGCAAGCGAAUUAAAACUGCAGUUGCAAAAAUGGAUUCCUGAAAUUGAAACAAACAUUAGACUAGUUGGACAGAGAGUUAUAGUAAUAGCAUGACUCAUAUGUCGGCAAGGCCACUGUGACACUCAAAAAAAAUGACAAAAGAGCCCCAUAAAUCAGUAUAUGCACAGAUUUGCCAGCUUUGAUGAGCUAUGGUGGCAAAUUAGCAUUGUUCAAACUUAUGUGCUCUAAAUCAUGUAAACCCCGCUGAUGCCUUCCCUGUGCACUCUGAAGUCAACUCAUGAAAACAGACGGCUGGAUGAAUUGUCAAAUCUGCCAAUUUGAUUAACGUCAAAAAACAAUAACAAUCAAUUACUUUCACAGCGACUUCCUGACAGCCAGUUGCCCAUACACUGCAAUAUUUGAUUUCACAUUAACCAACUGCUUACAUGAAUAGUGGCACAUUUCAUAGUAGCUGGCAGCUCACUAUCUCUUGGUAAAUCUGUUUCUUAUUAAUGUAAAUAAGUGGCAAUUGUGACAUUCUCUGGAGAAAAUGAAAAUACAAUUUAAAGAUAUUUAUUCUCUUUGAACUGACCUAAAUUGUUUAAACAUUAGUUUAAUAAAAUCUGUU